CUAGCGGAGCAUCCGAGUGCACAGCAAAGCCAAGACAAACACAGCGCUGCUCUCUCCUGAAAAUGUUAGUGGUUUGAAAGAUCUCCGUUGUUGCUCCAUCCCGGAAAAUGAUUCAUCCUCCCCUCGGGGUUUUGACUUGCCUCUGCACGUUUCACAACACUGCCUGGCUUUAUAAGAGCGUGGUUGCACGCGGCGACUCCUAGCAGAUUUCUCGGCUCGGUUGCGAGCGAGGCGGCGGCUAAUCCUUCUAACGAUGAUUUUCCUCUUGCAGCAUUUCAUCUUUCUGGCCAUAGACUUAUUACUCGCGACGACCCUUUCCUGCCUCUUUUAUGCCUUUAUAUGCAUUUCCAUUGCAUUUUUGACCUGCUUCAUUAUCAUCUUCUCCUUCGGCAUUGUGGAGAGGAACAUUGAUGUGAAAGGGAGAGCAAUUGUAGUUCUCGUGUCCAACAGCUCCAUUGGGAGGAUGUUUGCAAGGAACCUGGAUAAAGCAGGUUUCAGGGUGUCUGCUGCACACUGGCCUCCUCGAGAGGAGGGGACAGCUACAGAAGAAGAGUGCUUUUCAAGCACGGAGGUAGCCCAGCUCCACAUGACUGAAGAUGAGUAUCAGAAGACAAUGAAAACCUUCAUAGAAAGCCACUUAUCCCUGAAAGACAACCUCUCUGCCAAGAGCCUAGCAGCCUGGACGUACUCAUAAAAACACAUGAUUAAAGAGUUACACAAUCCAGAAAAGCUGCAGCAACACUUCUCCGCCUCCAUCCCCAUCCCUCGCUCAUCGCCAGCGGGCAGAGCCUGUUGGGGUUCAAAACCUCCACCCCCCACAUCAGAUUGCUGCUGCUGGACCGAGGGGAAAGGCUGAGGGCUGGAAGGGGCUGGCACUUCAGAUCCUGGGCAGAGUCCCCAGGACUCCCCGGGAUCACGGUUUUCAGUCUCGGCGGGGCUCAGUCCCGUCAGUUAGCCUGACCUGUGUUUUAUAGGCCAGAGAACUUCAUUAAGAUUUCAAAAGAACAAACCAGGCAGCCAGGCGUGUGGAAAUACGUGGGCAGGGAAAGCGGGAGCCGAGCUGUGAGCAGUGAGUGGGGUUUGUUGUAAAAUGCAGCAGGUACCUGCGAGCCCCGCUGCGCACAGCAGCGCUGUGUUUAUCUGUUUGUUGCUGGC
Molecule: long non-coding RNA, 1155 nt
Filed under: Calidris pygmaea (Spoon-billed sandpiper)
Lineage: Eukaryota; Metazoa; Chordata; Aves; Charadriiformes; Scolopacidae
Description: lncRNA (ENSCPGG00000016465.1)
Source: RNAcentral